UGGGGAAUAUUGGACAAUGGGCGAAAGCCUGAUCCAGCCAUGCCGCGUGUGUGAAGAAGGUCUUCGGAUUGUAAAGCACUUUAAGUUGGGAGGAAGGGCAGUAAGCUAAUACCUUGCUGUUUUGACGUUACCGACAGAAUAAGCACCGGCUAACUCUGUGCCAGCAGCCGCGGUAAUACAGAGGGUGCAAGCGUUAAUCGGAAUUACUGGGCGUAAAGCGCGCGUAGGUGGUUCGUUAAGUUGGAUGUGAAAGCCCCGGGCUCAACCUGGGAACUGCAUCCAAAACUGGCGAGCUAGAGUAUGGUAGAGGGUGGUGGAAUUUCCUGUGUAGCGGUGAAAUGCGUAGAUAUAGGAAGGAACACCAGUGGCGAAGGCGACCACCUGGACUGAUACUGACACUGAGGUGCGAAAGCGUGGGGAGCAAACA
RNAcentral lists this ribosomal RNA (427 nucleotides) under uncultured Pseudomonas sp. Its description in RNAcentral is "partial 16S ribosomal RNA". It matches the Rfam family "Bacterial small subunit ribosomal RNA", at positions 355 to 774 of the family's 1533-position model. Lineage: Bacteria; Pseudomonadati; Pseudomonadota; Gammaproteobacteria; Pseudomonadales; Pseudomonadaceae. The record is from RNAcentral.